Molecule: ribosomal RNA, 398 nt
Filed under: Oreochromis niloticus (Nile tilapia)
Lineage: Eukaryota; Metazoa; Chordata; Actinopteri; Cichliformes; Cichlidae
Description: partial 16S ribosomal RNA
Rfam family: Bacterial large subunit ribosomal RNA
Source: RNAcentral
UGUGACUAUAAGUUUAACGGCCGCGGUAUUUUGACCGUGCAAAGGUAGCGCAAUCACUUGUCUUUUAAAUGAAGACCUGUAUGAAUGGCAUAACGAGGGCUUAACUGUCUCCUUUUUCCAGUCAAUGAAAUUGAUCUCCCCGUGCAGAAGCGGGGAUACAAACAUAAGACGAGAAGACCCUAUGGAGCUUUAGACACCAGAACAGACCAUGUUAAGCACCCCUGAAAUAAAGGAUAAAACUGAUUGGGCCCUGUUCUAAUGUCUUUGGUUGGGGCGACCGCGGGGAAACAAAAAACCCCCAUGUGGACCGGGAGCACACUACUCCUACAACCCAGAGUUACAACUCCAAGCAACAGAAUUUCUGACCAAUAAGAUCCGGCACAUAGCCGAUCAACGAA